Molecule: ribosomal RNA, 253 nt
Filed under: uncultured Actinomycetales bacterium
Lineage: Bacteria; Bacillati; Actinomycetota; Actinomycetes; Actinomycetales
Description: partial 16S ribosomal RNA
Rfam family: Bacterial small subunit ribosomal RNA
Source: RNAcentral
UACGUAGGGUGCAAGCGUUGUCCGGAAUUAUUGGGCGUAAAGAGCUCGUAGGCGGUUUGUCGCGUCGGAUGUGAAAACCCAAGGCUCAACCUUGGGCCUGCAUUCGAUACGGGCAGACUAGAGUUCGGUAGGGGAGACUGGAAUUCCUGGUGUAGCGGUGAAAUGCGCAGAUAUCAGGAGGAACACCGGUGGCGAAGGCGGGUCUCUGGGCCGAUACUGACGCUGAGGAGCGAAAGCGUGGGGAGCGAACAGG